GUCAAGCAGACCGGGACGGUUUCAGUGCAGUGGAAGCAAAUUACAUUUCUCGCUAUAUAGUUGCCGGGUAUUGUGUGGUCUGACCGAUAACGAGGCAAAAUGAAGAAAGUGAUGGCUACAGCUAACAUCGCGAUGCGUAGCUAGUGGAAUAUUAUGAGAUCGGCCUUUCUUUGAUCCAGGCAUGCAGUUCGGUGUGGCAUUUUUGAUGAUCCUGUUGAGUUGGUGGUGUGGUAGCAACAAUGGUGUGCUAAGCAGCGGGAUGACCGGCAAGGCGCCGGUGGUUUUCCCCUAUUUCUGUCCGGACAGGCUGGAUAGUUAUGCUGACGCCGUGGGAUACACUGCUACACAACCAUCCACACCAACAGAACAGUAGGGUAAUUAGGCUAAGUUCAACAAUAAAAAUGUAAGUACU
Molecule: long non-coding RNA, 412 nt
Organism: Armigeres subalbatus
Lineage: Eukaryota; Metazoa; Arthropoda; Insecta; Diptera; Culicidae
Exons: 3
Source: RefSeq, a predicted model, not a curated record